CUUGGGGUCACGGUACAAAUGUUAUCAGGAAUGUUUUUCACAACAGACCAAGAAGUACUGCUGUUGUCACGAUUAUAUAGCCUGAAAACUCCGUCCUGGUCAAGCGUUGCCCGGUAAUAGUAAUCUCCCGUCAAGCUACUUCCGGAGGUGAUGUUAACAGUACCUCCAUUCCUUAGAAGAACAUAGAUGCCACCUGACUCAUCAAAAAUCAACCGUAGGCCAGAAUUGCUGCUAUUUGCAGCAUCACUGGUGUAAAUUGAAUAAUAAACAUCAUAUGCUUUACCAGAUUCUGGGUCCAAGGUAUUAAGUACGAGAUUGCCACCAGCUUUCAUUUGAAGCUGGAACCUCCCCUUUGAGUAGCUGCUGUUUGACUGCUGAGAAUACAUGGUGCCACCGAUUUCCAGUGUUUGAGUUGGCAAGAUGGUGUUGGCUGGAUUCUGGAAGCUCUGCCACACUGUAAGAUUUUGAUUCCUAUUUUCAAGAACAAAGUUACCAGUAUCAAGCAUGGCAGCAUGAGUGACCGCGGUUACAGAGUUCUGAGGUCUCCAUAUCUCUUUGCCUUGUGGAUCACUUAGUAUGAACUGGCCAUCAGAGGUAAGUUCAAGUUUGGAUCCUUUAGGAGCCGGGUUAUCUCCAUUUGCAUACCAAACUAAGGUUUUUUCCGGUAUGUUUUCGAACCAGAUAGCAAGCAAGAAGAGACUUUGACUGCCAAGGCGGUAAAACCCAAAGGCAAAUUCACCAGAAGGUGAUACACAUCUAGGCGAGUCCUGGGAGGCUGUAAUGUCAAGAUCAGUGCAAUAUUGAGACAACACUAAAGAUGGAAGGACAAGAAGAAGAAAGAACCUGGCAGCCAUUGCAGAAGAGCCUUGGUACUACCCUUCACACCGGAGAAAGUUUGUAGAACAUAUAAAAGUAUUCACAUGGGAUUGUGAGACUGGAAAAAAUAGCAUGCACAAGGUCAAUGCGGUCGGAUUGGGUGAGCGGUGGAAUCAAUUUCGUGAGUGAAACAUCUUCCUAAUUCACUUUAAAGGUCAUUGCUGACACGUUUUCCAAGCUUUGAAUCUUUGAAAAACUAGUUAUGGCCAACCACAUAUGUGUGGCUUAUCUUCUUCCACUUCAUAGGGUAUAGGAUAUGGCUUACCCCCACAUGCAUUAGGUAUUUAGUGUGCAUCUUCCAAUAGUACAUCAUUGGAAAGCGACUAAUUCAUUGUCUAAUAUGCACAUCCAUUUUUAGGGCCUAGGUCCUCAUUUGUGGUUGAAACGAUCUAUUCUCAAUCAGCCAAGACUUUUGCAUGCUUACAAAUUUGAUUUCACUUAUUCAAGGUAUGAAAGGGAUUUUAUCGGUCAAUUCUUACAUUGCAGAAUUGUUGAAAUUGUCUUAUUACAGCCACCAAGAAGCUAAAUUAUGUGUCUAAUCUCAUGGUUAUAGUCCGGGGUUCUACUAACUUGUGAACUGGUAUCUAUUGAUUCUAAUUGUCCGUUACCAUUUUCUAAGACUUUUGAUACAAGUUGGAUGAGCUCAAUUGCACCUCAAUCAGCCUCUGUUAAGAUUCCACAGUUAUAUAGUUGGUUUGAAUUUUUCUAAAAAUGGUUUUAAGAAAAUUACCUAUCAAACGUUUCUCCAAAAAAUAUUAUAAGUAAUUUUUCAAUAUUAAAAGUGAUUUUUCAUAUUUUUAACAAUAUUUCGUAAAUUUUGUCAAAUGUUUUUUUUUUUCAUAAAUACUUUAAAAAUAGAAAUAUUUCUUAAAAUUAUUGUCAAAUAUUAAAACUAUCAAAACAUAUGAUUUGAAAAUCAUAAUAAAUAUUAUGUGAAUAAUUCAAGUGGUCAUCUAUUUUCUUUUUUGUUCUUUUAUUUUUUGUAACCCGGAGUGUUGGGUUAAAGUUGAUAUGAACACCAAAGGCCUCAUUUUUGGAAUUUAAUUAACACAAAAUUCUUUUUCAAGUUGAUAAUUAUAUAAAUAAUCUUAUGGAGUCCAUUAUUGAAUUUUAUUGAGAGUGUGUGGCCAAAAGCCAAAAGGAUGAUGUCUACCGUUCUUUCUUUUCCAUUUUCAUUUAUUGAAAUUUUAUUCCCCCGAUGAACUUGACAACCAUCUUAAAAUAAUUAUUGGAAGCUAUUAACUUUAAAUAAUAAGGAUCAUGUUCAAUAAUUAACAUUUUUUUGAAAAAAAAAGUAAUCAUUGACUUAGAGCUCGAAUGACAGUGACGGUAAAAAACGUUUUUAACCUAAAAAGUUUUUUUGAAAGAAAAAAAAAAAUAGGUAUUAGUAAAAUUUAAUAAACGCUUUUUAAAAAUUUGAAAAAUCAUUGAUAGUAUUAAAAAAUCACUUAUAGUGUUUUUAGAGAAAUGUUUUAUAGAUGAUUUUCUUAAAAACACUUUAUGAGAAAAUACUUUCAGAGAAAAUAUUUUCAUUAAAAAUACUUUAAAUAAAAAUAUUAUCAAAUGUACUCUUAAAUAUUUUAUUAUGAAAUUUAUUAUUCUAAUUAAUUUUAUAUAUAAUGACAUGAACAAAAAAUAUCAUAUCAUGAAAAAUUUGUGUUUUCUUUAGUAGUGAUAUUAUUUUUUGGAGAAUAAUAUUUGAAGGUGUGGAAAAAAGAUUGGUGAAAAAGCGAAAAAUCCUUUUAAUCUUACAUCCUAGUUGUGUUCAAAUAUAAGAGUUGGGAUCACCAAAUUCAUUAAUAUUCAAGAAGAAGUAAGAAUGAAAAUUAAAUAUUCAUCUUCAUUCCUAAUUUUUACAUAGCAAAUAUGGCCUUCUAAUGUUACAUUGAACAGUGAGAUGUUUCUUGCACCAUUAAAAAAAUCAGCCUUGGAAAACAGACGUCAAAUUUCUUGCACCUGACAUUGACAUGGACUCAAACUAUCUAAAACUAACCUAAAUUCAUGGAGAUGAAUGGCCAAUCAAGUGAAGCACUUGCCUGCGUGAUGUCUGGUCAGUCAUCUUGAAAUGAGAAUUAUAUAGUCAGAUAAAUAAUAAAACACAUAACCUAAUAUUCUAUUCAUUGAUUCGCUCAUUCACUAAUCAUUAGAAAGUCGGGAAAUAUAGAAGAGCAAAUUUUCUAAUUCAAGGAGAUGCUGAAGAGGCUCAGAAUCAUAAUUUCUAUACAAAAUCAGGAAGUUCAAUGAGGGAAUUGCACUCAACCCUUUAAGAUAAGAAUAUGGAAAUGGAAAACAAAGCUUCAAAAAGUCUUAGGUUAUGUUUGGUUUCUGAAAAAUAUUAAGGAAAGAAAAAAAAUACAAAUGAAAAUGAAUUUUUCAUAUUUGGUUGUCCUAUGAAAAAUAUAAAAGAAAAUCAAAUAUAAUUAAAACUAAUUAAAAAUAUAUGUAUUUUUAAAUUUUUUAAUCUUUAUAUUGAUGAGUUAAAAUAAAUAAAAUGAGUUUGAAGUAAUAAAAAAAAUAAUUUAUCGAUUUUUAAUCUAUUUUUUAUUUUCCCUCACUUUUUCUUUCCUUCUACUUUUCCUUUGUAUUUUCUUUCCCUUGCAUUUUCCCUCAAAUUUUCUGGGAACCAAACAUAGCCUUAAAGUCUAGAUCAAUUUAAUUACAAUAUUCUUCUUCGGAGUUUCACAGUACAAACCUUCAUUAAGACUUGGGACUCUUUAAUUUUCUUUUCAAAGAAAGAGAUGACUUGGAUAAACAAUGAGAACCAAUGCCCAUGGUCACUUACAGAAGUUUAUGCAUGACGAUGACAAUUCUACUAAUGAGAAGCAAGCACAAGAAGACUGCCACCUCCAAGGUCCAUGCCAAUGACCUCAAUGAUCAUCCGCAGGGCAACAAAAAAAUAAACAGAAAUUCCAAAAUAAGAACAAGACCACGUCAAAAUUGUGACAAAAACAAAUUCAGCAACUACCUGACAAAGAUUUGUCUUUCUACUUGCCUUUUGUUAUAAGGACUCCCGAAAAACUUAGGCUGCUAAACCAAAAGUGUGUUUAAACAAAUAAAAAUUUGACCAAUUCAGUACCAUAAAAUACUUAUAUAAAAUUGUUGGUUUAGGAAUGGCAACUUUCUAAAUGAUCCUAGAUCUAAAUAUACAUUGGCAUAAAAUUGCAGUUGUUUACCUCACAUGUUUUUUUAUUGUCAUAAUAGAACUUUGUUCCUUAGAAGAAGGCUUCUAUGCUUAUCCUGGUUACUUAACAUGGAACAUGUGCAAAUAGAGUUUGUUGCCUGCCCAAAUCUUCCACAACCGGACCAGCCAAUGACUUGUGUGCAUGUACAGUUCUUCAAGAGUGUUGAGCAGAUUAAAAGCCUUUGAAUGCAAAAAGGAGGUCAAGACAUUAACAAUGUAGAAUAUUUAAGUAAUUCUGGUAUCAAACAUAAUAAAAUUGAUUAAACAAAACCUUGAACAAUGAGGUAUUUUCUUCCAAAAAAGAUGAGCUCCACCAUUGUGUGGGCUAUUGAGAAUAUGAAAAAUAAGACAUUAGAAUGAUAAGCAAUUAAAAUUACCUACUAAUGAGCAGCAAACUAGAAUGUUGAAUUUUGACUUAGUAUUUGCUGGAAUUUGAAUUUUGAAUAUUGCAGCUGGAGUCUUGCACAAAAUCUGCAACAUCUAGAUAUUUUCUUAUUUUUAUUUGGUCAAGAUUUGGUUUCUAUUUUAUAGGAAGUAGUUAUUCAUCAUCUAGUAGCUUGAUUUUCUGCUAUUCUAAUGUCAUUUAAGUUACAAGUUCAUGUAUAAAUUCAGCACUCUUCAUCAAUAAAAUCAGAGUUCCAGCAGCCCAAAAAUAUAUUUUUUGUAUAAGUAUUUAAUCUUAUACCAACAAAGUGGUAUCAGAGCCAUAGUUAUCUUGAGGGGCCAGUGAGGUGAGAACCCAAACACCUUCUAAAAUCAUAUAGCAAUGGAAGAGUCAAGUCUCACAGUUGCACCAUCAAUUCUUGAUGGAGACAAUUAUGAAACUUGGGCUGUUAGAAUGACAGUUCAUCUACAAGCACUUGAUGUUUGGGAAGCAGUUGAAGAAAAUUAUGAAGUUCCUCCCCUGGGAGCCAAUCCAACUGUGGCUCAAAUGAAGUUGCAUAAAGAAAGAAGGACAAGAAAGGCUAAAGCGAAAGCUUGCUUGUUUGCUGCAGUUUCACCAUCAAUUUUCAUCAAAAUCAUGAAAAUUGAUUCAGCUGUAGAAAUUUGGGAGUAUCUCAAGGAGGAAUACAAAGGAAAUGAAAGAAUCAAGAACAUGCAGGUGAUGAACUUGAUUCGAGAAUUUGAAAUGAAGAAAAUGAGGGAGUCUGAUGCUGUUAAAGACUAUGCUGCACAACUUCUUUCAAUAGCAGACAAAGUUAGGCUGCUUGGAAAAGAAUUUUCCAAUGAGAAGAUUGUUCAAAAGAUAUUGGUUACACUUCCUGAGAAAUAUGAAGCUACAAUUUCCUCUUUGGAGAAUUCAAAAGAUCUGUCAACUAUUAGCUUGACAGAAUUAUUACAUUCCUUGGAGGCUGUGGAACAAAGAAGACUCAUGAGACAAGGAGAUACUACAGAAGGAGCAUUUCAAGCAAGAAUGCAGAAAAAUGCAGGCCAUAAAAAUGGAAAGAUGAACAACAACAAGCCAUGCAGCAACAACCAGAAAAAUGGAGUUUUUCCACCUUGUCCUCAUUGCAAGAAGACAAAUCAUUCUCCACAAAAAUGUUGGUGGAGACCAGAUGUGAAAUGCAACAAGUGUGGUAAACAAGGACAUGUGGAGAGGAUUUGCAAAAAUCAACAACAGGAAGAAACUAGUGCAGCAGUUGACUAUUGCCAGGAGGAGCAAUUGUUUGCAGCAACGUGUUUUGCUAAUAAAAGCACCUCUGAAAGCUGGCUUGUGGAUAGUGGUUGUACAAAUCACAUGACAAAUAAUCAAGAUCUCUUUAGAGAACUUGAUAGAACAACUAUUUCCAAAGUCAGAAUUGGAAAUGGUGAGUAUAUUCCAGUGAAGGGCAAAGGAACGGUUGCUAUCGAAAGCCAAACAGGUUUGAAACUCAUUUAUGAUGUUUUGUUUGUGCCUGACAUUGACCAAAACUUACUCAGUGUUGGACAGCUCGUUGAGAAAGAAUUUAAAGUUUAUUUUGAAGAUAGGAAUUGCAUUAUCAAGGAUGCUGAAGGCAAAGAGGUGUUCAACAUAAAAAUGAAGGGCAAAAGUUUUGCCUUGAAUUUACUGGAAGAUGAGCAUACUGCUAUUUUACAACAAGAUAGCACAACAAUGUUUUGGGACAGAAGGGUCGAGCACUUUCAUCAUGAUGAUGUGCUCUACAUGAAGAAAAAUCAAAUAGUUGAAGGACUUCCUGACUUAGAAAAAGAUCUUCCUAUAUGUGCUACUUGUCAAUAUGGGAAGCAAACUAAACUUCCCUUUCCAAAGAAAAUAUCCUGGAGAGCAACCCAAAAACUGCAACUGGUGCAUACUGAUGUUGGUGGAUCUCAAAAAAUGCCAUCCUUGAAAUGGAAUGCAAACAAUGUUUGGUGGAUCUCAAAAAAUGUCAUCCUUGAAAUGGAAUGCAAACAAUUUUGGGCUAAAACUGCAAGUAGAGCAGUAUAUUUUCUGAACAUAUUGCCAACAAAAGUGUUAAAGAAGCAGACCCCUUUCGAAGUUUGGUUUGAGUGUCUACGUGCAAGACUUGGAGUUUGCAUCUACGAAGUCAAGGAGGAGUGUUGAAUUUUGACUUAGUAUUUGCUGGAAUUUGAAUUUUGAAUAUUGCAGCUGGAGUCUUGCACAAAAUCUGCAACAUCUAGAUAUUUUCUUAUUUUUAUUUGGUCAAGAUUUGGUUUCUAUUUUAUAGGAAGUAGUUAUUCAUCAUCUAGUAGCUUGAUUUUCUGCUAUUCUAAUGUCAUUUAAGUUACAAGUUCAUGUAUAAAUUCAGCACUCUUCAUCAAUAAAAUCAGAGUUCCAGCAGCCCAAAAAUAUAUUUUUUGUAUAAGUAUUUAAUCUUAUACCAACAUAGAAUACAUCCAUGGUUUCCUCCAUGCCUGUAUAAGAGAAAUGACAAAGAAAGUGAGGAAGAACCAAAGCAUCCAUGUUUUUCCAGUCAUUAAGCGGUUCACUUGGGUUAUGCAUAUGGCCAAAUAAAAAACAGGGCAUGAAUAUGUGAGUGCCGUUAGAAUAUGAGAAUUGUCUGUGUCAAAAUGCGAGCACCUAGGUUGAAUCCUCAUCUACAGCUAUUCAAAAUUCGUCUCAGGCUUGAAGCUUCAAGAAGAAGAAAAUCUUAAAUCAAAUAAAUGGAGCCAAGGAAUUAUGUAGAUAUAUUCUUGAGAUUAGAAAUUGGAACAUAACUUUUCUAAAGAACUAAGUUUAAGCACAGAACAAUUACCUGCCGAUAUGUUGGUGCAGUGCCACUUUCAUUAAAAUAGCACAUCAUUGAUCUCUAUUUUUGGAAUGUGAGAUAUAUAACGCCAUUCUUGCCCUUUCUCAAAUUGGUGCCGUUGUUCUAGUGAAGGACAUUUGUAGACAUACAGAUAAGAGAGAGGGAGUCUGGCAGUGUCAACUACUGGAGCUUAGGGCAGUUGGCGAUAUACAAGGUUUCAAGAGUGGUAAGGUGGUGAAGACCUGCUUCUGUUAAGGAUUGGAGCCUUGGGCACAAGUAUAAUAUUUUGAGAGAAAUAUGGUGUUGACGAACGGACCCCUAUGGAGAACUGGAGCUCAGUGCAAUUCCUGAUCUCUAAUUGUAGAAGAGAGGUGAGUCGUUGAAGCCCCCUGCUGUAAAGAGACUUGAGAUUUGGAAGAUCUGAGAUUGAAAUAUAAGUCAGAGAAGAGGGCAGCAGGCACUCCUUGGGAAAUAAUUCCACGUCUUCACAUCCACCUUUGAUUGUUAAUUUAGUAAGAGAGGUCAAUCUUUGCAAAUCCCAAUCCACCUGGGAUGUGAGUUGGUUGCAGCGACAAACUUCUAGUUCACGUAGGUUGGAAGGCAAACCUUCUCUGUGAAACAAAAAUUCUGAGCAAUCCCUUAAAAUCAGUUUCCGCAGAGAUGAGUGUGUGUGGACCAGCAAUCUGAGCUUGGAGCAACUGGAAAUCUCGUGGUCCAUUGAGUCCAGAGCAGGCAGUUGGAUAUAUACAAGAUUAUGGCACCCUCUGAUUUCCAAAUUAAGAAGAGAUAUGGGAUCGCCCUCUGAAAUCGAAAUGCAGAGCUUCUCAAGUCCCUAAGACCAUGGAUUGCGAAAUUAGUCAACCUGGGGGAGAUGUCCAAUAUUGAGAAGGAUAAUGGGGGAGAAUUAUUGUAGGUACCACCAUUGAUUGAUAGAUUUUCAAGUACAGGGUGAUGGCAUCUGAACAACUCUGGUAGAAUAAGGUCCACUUUGGUACAGUAAGAGAUUGAUAGUGAUUGCAACAUAGUGGGUAAACCAACUUUGCUCGGGGAUCUGAAAAAGAGCAGUCACAAAUUUUUAAACUGUGGAUGUUGGUUUGCAGGAUUUCCUCCUCUAGCAGAGACUCCAUAGAAUCACACUUUGUGGAUGUUGCUUCCAUUGAGAGACGUCUGAAAUUUCAAUUUCUGAAGUUUGAAGAGCUGUGAACCCACAAGUUUGCCUUUUCAACUGCAAUCUACGGGCAGCAGGAACAUUGAGUGUAGGCACAAGCAGUUGCGGACAUAUUUCAAGGUUAAGUUCCUGCAAUGAAGGAAGGUGUAUUGGUAAUUCCCCAAUGAGUAUAGGACAUUGCCUUAUAGAAAGCUCCUGGAGACGAGGGAAUUCUCCACGUAUGCCUCCACGACAUAACCAUUUCUCCCAAUUGGACAUUACAAAAUGAUAUAGUUUACAGGGAUGGGAAGGAGGGCUGAAGUGAAAAAGAGGAGUUCCCAUAAAACUCACCACCCACCCUGACUACUCCUUUCAUGUCUGAGAUCUCUAGAAGUUUAAGACAAGGUAGCUGCCCCAGUGGCGGCAAUGUUGAGCAAUUGCCACAACCCCAAAGCUUAAGGGACCCAAGAUUCAAGAAUGAAGGAUCUCCAAGCCAAUAUGGAAAUGUUACACCAGGAUACUUUAUGAUGGAGAGUUAUUUUAAAUUUGGAUGAGGUUGUAACCAGCUAAGAAUAUUGUCUAUUACACCAUUAAUUUGUAUAACAUCACUAAUAAUCAUGUCCUUCCAAUUCAGGGAUAACUCAUCCAGGUAUCUCUUAUCCUUCAUAUGUCCUUGCAAUGCAUCCUCAACGCGCACUACAUUCUCCAUUUUUGAAGUUUUAAGUAUUCCCUGAAUCUCCGGAAACUCUCUCAAUCCAUCCUCCAAUUCCAUAUCCACUUUUUUGGCCCACAAUAACAUAAGGCAACUGUUGUAAACUUUUUAAUUGAUCUAAUCAAUUUCCCCAUUUUUGAAGGCAAUUCAAGAAGAAUGUGACAUCUACUCAAUAUCAUCGAUCGUAUGUAAAUUGUACAAAUAACAUAUUGAUUUAGGUAAUUUUUCAAUCAUCAUAAAAGAGAGAUCCAAGUAACACUACUGUUUUAAAUUGUGUAUUGAAUCAAGCACAUCUGUUAUGUUGUAUGCACACAAUGAUAACACACGCAAGGAUUUAAAUUUUGGUAAUAUAUUUUGUAAAACUCUUUUACUCCAUGUAUAAUAAGGAAUACGUGUAAAUCUCUUCACGUCUAAGAAUGUCCAGAGAUGUUUAGCUUCACCAAUAGCCUCAAACUUAUCACGUACAACCAUCCAGUCGUAGCCACUUUAAAAGUAAAGAAAAUGACGAGCCUUAUCAGUUAUUUUUUGCACCUUAUAAUCUUCCAAUUGAACACAAAAUUCGCUGGAGAUAUGUUGAGACAAGUCAUGUAUUAUAUCAUGCAUUACAAAGCAUGAUUUUAUGGUAAAUGAUUCCUUUGUAAUAGAUUGUUGAAAAAAUGACUUUGCUAGAAGCUCAUUAAAACAUGACUCACCUACCUCUUCCAGUCUUUCUUCACUUUGUCCCGCAUGUAAAAGCCCUUCUGCCAUCCAUAAUAGAAUCAGCUUCUCUUUUUCUUGUUACCUACUCUCUCUUUGAGUUUAAGCUGAAACAAAUUUAGGGUGUCAUCAGAUUUAGUUUCAGAACUGAUUUCCUUGAGAAUUGAUUUUGUUACCUCCUCGAUGAGAAAAAUCUCAGUGGAAACACAGACCCAUGCUUUCAAGUGGAAGUGUUGUUUGACCGUGUCAUGGUUAUAGAGAAGCUGAGCGAGUGUGGUCUUGCCGCUGCCGCCCAUGCCCACCAUGGACAUCACAUCUAUGACGUUGUUGCCUGUUGCAUUUUCCUUUUCAGAAAGCAACCACUUCACCAUCUCCUCCUUGAUUCCAUCCCUGCCCACCACAGAGGACUCAUCCACCAAAGAAGUGGUUGGUGGUCUUGGUGACAGUUUAUCGCCUUCACCUUCUUUCAGCCAAAGCUCAACUUUUUCUUGUGCAAUGUUUUCAAGUACGGUAAUCAAGCCCUUGACCCUGGGCUCCAUUCUUUGAGUAGCAAAUGGAGCCUUAACCCUGGUGGAGAACUUGUUCCACACCUGAUAAAUUCCGCCAGUUUGGGGGUGUUCAGCAGCUUCGAUCUGGCACCGCAAAGUUUUGGUAGCGAUCUCGUCCAACAGGUCCUCCGCAUGAUACACAGCAUCCUUAACUUGGACUAGCCAGUCUUUGACAAGUGGAUCUGAAAAUUGCUUCAUCUCCGCAUCAUUGAGCGCUUUGUGGACAACCAGCAAUUUCCUCUUAAAGUUGGUGAGGAGUUCAUGGCUGAGCUUUUGUGCCCGGAUGAAGUUGAUGAGGUCCGGAGAAGCCAACCUGUCGAGUAGAACUUGAAGUGAAGCCAAGAGGAGUGCGUCCGCCAUUGCAAAAGGAAUUCAGCGAGAUUCAAUACAGGAAAAAUGAAGGUAAGCAGAAUUAAUGCAGAAUCACAGCAACAAACUGCAAAGCAAAGACUGGUCUCUAUUGCCAAAAUGCAUGAGGCUUGAAGGAAUCAUUGAUGGUGGUGGACCAAAUGCUGACUUUUUUGCCAAAACCAAUAAUUGAGAGGUGAGUAAAAGAAAGCAAAGGAAAAAGGCUGAUGACAGACUCUGUUGAGUAACGUGGGUGGAGCUUUCCAAAAAUGGAAAGCAAAAGCCACCGGGUUGUUCUUUGGUACCCAUCAUUUAUUUUGGGUUGCCAACCCACAUUUGAACCACUAAUAAAUGCAAGUGUAAAGUGUAAUAUUAUAAUUUAUUAUUAAAUAUCAAAUAUAAUUUGUUAUUUAAUUAAUUAAGCACCUAACAAUUAUCUAAAAUAAGAAAAUUUUAUCAACUACUCUUGUACUCUUGGUAUGCAAAUAUAGAAAAAGAAAUAUUAAUUUAAUAUGAAAAUUAAAUAGCUUCAACCAACGUAUUUGUGAUAAAUCAAAUUUAAAGAUUAAGUAUAAGAUUUCUUAAGGAAGAAAAACAAAAAUUUGUAUUUCAUAAAGGAAAUAAAAUAUUUCAAGUGAUUACAUUUAUUAAAGGUAAUAUUUGAUAUUUUUUUAUUUAAAUAUAAAUUUUGCCAGUAAAAAUGUAGCAUUUUAAUAUGUAAUGAUUUACAAGAUUUAGGUUUUAGAACUUUUUUUUUUAUGAGUUUAUUAUUAAUCAAAUUGAAAUAAUUUAGUCCUUUGUUAUCAAAUUGUUUUCAAUAUGUGAGAAAAGUUACAAACAACGUAAGAGAAAGUAUGAAUAAUAUAAGAGAAGGUAUGAAUAAUGCAAGAAAUUGUACGAAUAAUGUAAGAUAGGGUAUGAUGGAUGGUAUGAACAAUGCAAAAAAUGAUACAAGUAAUGUAAAACAAGGUAUGAACAAUAUGAGAAAUGGUAUGAAUAAGAAGCCUCUUCUCAUUAUUAUUGUUGAAGACAAAGCAAUGUGUAAAUAGAAAUUGAUGAAUAUAUUGCAAAUGUGGUGGGUAAGGAGCACUGAGUAGACCAUACUGCUUUAAAUUUCAUCACAAAAGUGUUGGGUUUGCAUACAAAUAAAUUUAUGAUCUAAAAUAUAAACAUAAAAUAGUUAACAACAUUAAUUAUGUAAUAAAAUUAAUACGAAGUUGGUUUAUCCUUAUAUUCAUUUCUACAUUUAGUAAUUCUUGUCUAAGUCCUAAAGUCAUGAAGUCUUCUCGAUUUGCAUGCUUAUAUUGAACAUUAACAAGAACUACAAAAUAUAAGUAUUUAAUAAGCAUCACUUUUAAAACAUGACGUGGAUAAAGUAUAUCCAAAAUAAUUAGUUUAUACAUUUUUGGCCCAAUGAAACAUCAAAUGAAUGUGGAUCCUCCACAUUUAACAAAAUGCACAUGAUAUUAGUCAUUCAAUAAAGGAAUUCUUAAAAAAAAAAUUAAAAAUUAAAAAUUAAAAAUUAAAAAUUAAAAAUUAAAAAUUAAAAAUAAAUAAAUAAAAAGGCUAAAAGAUGGUCAAACCCGUAGAUAAAGAGAGAGUUGUCCUUGAUUUUAUCCUAUAUUCUGUCCUACAUAUUGUUUGGAUGCCAACUAAAAAAAUGAAGAAAAAACAGAUAAUUUAAUGAAAAGUUAUUAAAUAAUUUAAGAAGGAAAAAGAAAAUAAAGGAGAGUUAAAAAAAACAUGAAUAGUUUAAUGGAUUUCAAAUUUUAUUUUAUUUUAUUUUUCCAUUUUUACACAUCUCUUUGUAAUAUAUUCAAUAUUCUAUAUGAUAUUUAUAAAGAAGAUAAUCAAAUAUCAUUGAAACAUGGGUACCUUUUUUCAACAAAUGCAUCACUAAUUACAUAUAUUUUAAUGAAAAUAUUGACAAUGUUUCGAUAUUUUCACUAUUUUCCAAAAUCAUAAUAAACAAAUAUAGUUGUACACAGAAAUUUCAUAAAUUUUAUCCUGCGAAAUUAGCAAAAUAAAAUAGGAAAAAUAGUGUGAACAAAUGAUUUAUUAAAUUCAAGAAUAUCGCAGGUACAAUUUCAAAAUAAUAAUAAUAAUAUUUUUUCUAACAAAGAAUAUUUUCCCUUUAAUUCUUUUGCCUUGAUUGCACUUUGGAAGACAACGAUGACGUUUUCUUGAUUUCAAAGAUCAAUCGAGGGCCACAAGUGGCUUAUUCCCGAAUGACCUUGUUGAAUGACAAAGAACGAGUGUAUUAGUUCUUUUGUCGCUUACCGAACUUAUAGGGAGUUUUUAUUUGAUUUCUGAAUUUUCUUCCCUCUCCUCUCCUUGAUGGAAGACAUCUUUAUUUAUAGGUGAAGAUAGGGAAUUUGAAUUUCAAAAUCCCCAAUUUUAGUUGCUUAAUUCAAGGGAUUUAGUUCCUUAAUUUUAGCAAAUUUUCUUUUCCGGGAGGUUUUACCAACAAGAUAAUAAGACUUAUCCUUUUUUUUAGAAGACCAAAUUAAUGGUAAUUUAUUUAUGUCUACAAUAGUUUAAAAAUUUUCUUAUAUAUAGAACUCCACCCUAUUCUUGUCUACUUUCCCUUCAUCCGACGGUUCAUCUGUGUAUGAAAAAUUUGUUUUUUAAAAUCUAUUGGAAGUGUCUCAACUUUUUAAUUGGAAUAUAUAAUUUUUUUUAAUAAAAAAUUAUUAUAUAAAUAUUUUCUAAAUUCAUAUAGUAUUGUAAUUAGAUUUUUUAUAGAAUAAAGAAAGGGAAUAGAUUACCUAGUGAGAUCUACAUACAAUUUAAUAAUUAAUUAGUUAACUAAUAUUAGAUUAACUCGGACUCAAAUUAUUUGGCCAGCAGAGUCAUGGGAGCCUUAAAAGAGAAGCUAAGAGCAAAGGGGAUGCAUACAACAAAACCAAAACUAUGGUAUUCCCUUCAAGGAUCUCAUGUCCACUAUCAUUACUCUAAAAAGCAUUGAAAUUUUGGAGAUCAGGAGAGGAUUCAAGCAAUUGGCAAAGCAGUUUCCCAUAUGAAGUUGGUAAUUAUGAGCAAGAGAAAUUUUCCAAUGGAAGAAGAAUUGGACUGGAAGUAAGUAUUUGAAGUAACAUCAUGGCAAAGUUGUUGGUAAUUGGUAACUGUGGGGCUGAGUGAAACAUUAGAUUAAAUUCUGACCUCUUAUUUCGUCUACAAGAAACCUUGAGCUAACUAGUAGAUGGGUUUAAUUGCAUGGUCCAAACUAAGAUUAAAAUAAGAAUGCAAGCUCCGUGUCCACAAUACGCUUUCUAACUGCCGAUAUACGAAACCAUCAGGUGGUUUUCUAUGUUUUGAAUCUUCCAAAACCUUGAAAGACUUUUGGUGAAGUUGCCAAAAGUUCUAUAUAGAUAGAGUUCACAGCUGGUUUUGAAUUUUCUAAACACCUAGAAAAUACACUUUUUGCAGAAAGUGCUUGCCAAUUUUCCAAUACCUGUAAAGGUGAGAAUAUGAUGUUUACCUGCCACCUUGAAAUUUAUAACCAUAGUGUAGCAACCUUGUUUGUACUAUUAGAACAAGAAAAUGCAACCAUACUAACAAAGAAAACACUAUUAGAACAAACAUGGAUAUUCAACUGAAGUUCAUGAUAUAUGGAACUUCCAGGAUUGCAAAGACGAGUAGGUGCGUAUAUACUGUCUUAGGGAUGUGUAGUUUCAGAAGGUUGAACUAAAGGGGAAAGGACUACGGGGCACAGCAACUUCAACAACUCCUUGAAGCAUCAAUAUGACCAUUCCCAUGGAGGGCCUCAAAGAAGGGUCCUCUUGAAUGCACCAAAUGGCAACCAUCACUACCCUCUCUAGCAUCCCCAUGUCUUUUCCUGCUUCAUCAUCAUUCUUCACUAGCUUAUCCAAUCUGUGCCCUCUAUAGCAAUCAUAAGCCCAGUCAGCAAGUAUUGCUUCCUCCUCAUUUUCCGGCUGUGAAUGUACGCUCUUCCUGCAACUGAUGAUCUCCAGUAACAUAACCCCAUAACUAUAAACAUCCACUUUCGCCGUAAUCGGCUUGCUCCUGAACCAUUCUGGUGCAACGUAUCCUUUGGUCCCUCUGAUUGUUGUAAGGGUCCGAGUAUGAUCUCUCAUCAGAAGCUUCGCUAGUCCGAAGUCUGAAAUCCUAGGUGUAAGGUACUCGUCAAGGAGGAUGUUUUCAGGCUUUAUAUCACAAUGGAUGAUGGGGGUGCUGCACUCUUCGUGUAAAUACAUUAGCCCUUUUGCAAUCCCAAAGGCUAUCUGGAGUCUCUGGCUCCAUUCAGGUGUAGAUAUUCCAAACAAGAAGUCUGCUAAAGAUCCAUUGUUCAUGUGCUCGUAUACCAGAAGCCGGUGCACACCCUGAUCACAGUAUCCAAGCAAACUGACUAAAUUCCUAUGGUGGGUCCGCCCAAUCACAGUGACUUCUGUUUUGAAUUCCUUCUCGCCUUCCUGUACCACCUUAUCUAACUUCUUGACUGCCACAAAUCUCCCAGCAUCUGAUGCCAAAACCCCUUUAUAAACUGUUCCAAAAGCUCCCCUGCCCAAUUUCUCCUUGAAUCCACCGGUUGCCUCUUCAAGCUCUUUGUAUGAAUAAGUUCUCACACUGGUGGUCGGGAAUUUGCUUGAAACGGACUGGAUAUUCAUCAGUUUCUUGUUGUAGAAGAAGAGAGCAGCCGCAGGGAUUGCUAACAACAGAAAGAGAUUAAAGAACACAGAGCUGCCAAGGAGUACUGACCCAACAAGGAUCAAGGUAGACUUGUCUGGGCAUCUCUCUAUAGUAUCAUUUUUAAUCCGUACCUUGAUGAGAGCAGUUGAGUACUCGAAGACAUUUUGUGUAGGUUCGUGUCUUCCAUUUGAGAGAGGAAACUUCUUCUUCCAACACUGAUUGUUAGUGUUAUAGAUAGCAACCACACAGAGGCAAUCAUCUUUGCAAGACUGUUUACACUUCUCCUUGUUGAAUUCAGGUCCCUUCUGAAGCUGAUAAUCAGAUAAUGGCCAGUUGACACCUUUUAAUUCACUGAAAUCUACUGCAUCCUUGUUUGCUUUCCAUCCAUCAACAGCUGUUUGGCAGCUGGGCAAUUCAAAAUUCGGUUUACAGCCUUGUUUUCUGUCAAGAGGAUCCAAAUGAGAGUACCCAUCUGGGCAUAGACAAUCAGGCAUCCCCCUUCCAUCAAUGGAACAAUAGCUGUUGAACCCACAAAUUCCACUGCCAAGAUUACUUGGGGUCACGGUACAAAUGUUAUCGGGAAUGUUUUUCACAACAGACCAAGAAGUACUGCUGUUGUCACGAUUAUAUAGCCUGAAAACUCCGUCCUGGUCAAGCGUUGCCCGGUAAUAGUAAUCUCCCGUCAAGCUACUUCCGGAGGCGAUGUUAACAGUACCUCCAUUCCUUAGAAGAACAUAGAUGCUACCUGACUCAUCAAAAAUCACCCGUUGGCCAGAAUUGCUGCUAUUUGCAGUAUCAUUGGUGUUGCUUGAAUAAUAAACAUCAUAUGCUUUACCAGAUUCUGGGUCCAAGGUAUUAAGUACGAGAUUGCCUCCAGCUUCCAUUUGAAGCUGGAACCUCCCCUUUGAGUAGCUGCUGUUUGACUGCUGAGAAUACAUGGUGCCACCGAUUUCCAGUGUUUGAGUUGGCAAGAUGGUGUUGGCUGGAUUCUGGAAGCUCUGCCACACUGUAAGAUUUUGAUUCCUAUUUUCAAGAACGAAGUUACCAGUAUCAAGCAUGGCAGCAUGAGUGACCGCGGUAACAGAGUUCUGAGGUCUCCAUAUCUCUUUGCCUUGUGGAUCACUUAGUAUGAACUGGCCAUCAGAGGUAAGUUCAAGUUUGGAUCCUUUAGGAGCCGGGUUAUCUCCAUUUGCAUACCAAACUAAGGUUUUUUCUGGUAUUUUUUCGAACCAGAUAGCAAGCAAGAAGAGACUUUGACUGCCAAGGCGGUAAAACCCAAACGCAAAUUCACCAGAAGGUGAUACACAUCUAGGCGAGUCGUUGGAGGCGGUAAUGUCAAGAUCAGUGCAAUAUUGAGAAAAAACUAAAGAUGGAAGGACAAGAAGAAGCAAGAACCUGGCAGCCAUUGCAGAAGAGCCUUGGUACUACCCUUCAAACCGGAGAAAGUUUGUAGAACAUAUAACAGUAUUCACAUGGGAUUGUGAGAGUGGAAAAAAGUAGCAUGCACAAGGUCAAUGCGGUCGUAUUGGGUGAGCGGUGGAAUUAUUUUCGUGCGUGAAACUUCUUCCUAAUUCAUUUCAAAGGUCAUUGCUGACACGUUUUCCAAGCUUUGAAUCUUUGAAAAACUAGUUAUGACCAACCACAUGUGUGGUUGGCUUGCUGUGAUUGGCUUGUUCCUGAACCACUCUGGUGCGGUGUACCCUUUCGUCCCUCUGAUGGCUGUAAGAGUCUGAGAUUGAUAAAUCAUCAGAAGCUUUGCCAAUCCAAAAUUUUGGGGCUUGAUGUCACAAUGGAUGAUCUGUGUGGUACACUCCUCAUGCAAGUACGUGAUAUCCCAAAUGCCAUCUGGAUUCUUUUUUUCCUGUCAGGCAUUAAACUUCCGAAGAGGAAGCAAACAGCCAAACAGAAGGAGUUGUCUUACCCCUGCCAUUUACACCAGUAGAAAAAAAGAUUUAAAAAAAAAAUUAAUUUCACUUACAAUUACCCCUACUAACUAAAAAAUUCGACCCAAGGGAGGUGAAAAAAAUAAAAAAUAAAAAAAUAAAAAAAAGUAUUUAAUAAAAUUUUAAACCAAUGAAAUUUGACAAUAUUUUAAACCAAUAAAAGAAGUUACAAACAAUGUAAGAGAAAGUAUGAAUAAUAUAAGAGAAGGUAUGAAUAAUGUAAGAAAUUGUAUGAAUAAUGUAAGAUAGGGUAUGACGGAUGGUAUGAACAAUGCAAAAAAUGAUACAAAUAAUGUAAAGCAAGGCAUGAACAAUAUGAGAAAUGGUAUGAAUAAGGAGCCUCUUUUCAUUAUUAUUGUUGAGGACAAAGCAAGGUGUAAAUAAAAAUUGAUGAACAUACUAUAAAUAUGGUGGGGAAAGGAGCGGUGAGUAGACCAUACUGCUUUGAAUUUCAUCACAAAAGUGUUGAGUUUGUAUACAAAUAAAUUUAUGAUACAAAAUAUAAACAUAAAAUAGUUAACAACAUUAAUUAUGUAAUAAAAUUAAUAGGAAGUUGGUUUAUCCUUGUAUUCAUUUCUACAUCUAGUAAUUCUUGUCUAGGUCCUAAAAUCAUAAAGUCUUCUCAAUUUGCAUGCUUAUAUUGAACAUUAACAAGAACUACAAAAUAUAAGUAUUUAAUAAGCAUCACUUUUAAAACAUGACAUGGAUAAAGUAUAUCCAAAAUAAUUACUUUAUACAUUUUUGGUCCAAUGAAACAUCAAAUGAAUGUGAAUCCUCCACAUUUAACAAAAAUGCACAUGAUAUUAGUCAUUCAAUAAAGGAAUUCUUAAAAAAAAAAAAAAUUAAAAAUUAAAAAUUAAAAAAAAAAAAAACUAAAAGAUAGUCAAACCCGUAGAUAAAGAGAGUUGUCCUUGAUUUUCUCCUAUAUUCUGUCCUAUGUAUUGUUUGGAUGCCAACUAAAAAAAUGAAGAAAAAAUAGAUAAUUUAAUGAAAAGUUAUUAAAUAAUUUAAGAAGGAAAAAGAAAAUAAAGGAGAGUUGAAAAAAUGAAUUUUUUAAUGGAUUUCAAAUUUUAUUUUAUUUUUUUUCAUUUUACACAUCUCUUUGUAGUAUAUUCAAUAUUCUAUAUAUAUAUAUAUAUAUAUAUAUAUAUAUAUAUAUAUAUAUAUGAUAUUUAUAAAGAAGAUAAUCAAAUAUCAUUGAAACAUGGGUACCUUUUUUUAACAAAUGCAUCACUAAUUACAUAUAUUUUAAUGAAAAUAUUGACAAUGUUUCGAUAUUUUCUCUCUUUUCCAAAAUCAUAAUAAACAAAUAUAGUUUAAAAUUUUUCUUAUAUAUAUGAACUCCACCCCACUCUUCUCUACUUUCCCUUCAUUCGUUUAUUUGUCUAUGAAAAAUUUGUUUUUUAAAAUUUGUUAGGAAAUAUCUCAAUUUCCUAAUUAAAAUAUAUAAAUUUUUUUAAUAAAAAAAUUAUUAUAUAGAACAUUUUCUAAAUUCAUAUACCAUUGUAAUGAGAUUUUUUAUAGAAUAAACAAGGGGAAUAGAUUAACUAGUGAGCUCUACAUACAAUUUAAUAAUUAAUUAGUUAGCUAAUAUUAUAUUAACUCUAACUCAAAUUAUUUGGCCAUCAGAGUCAUGGGAGCCUAAAAGAAAAGCUAAGAGCAAAGUGGAUGCAUACAACAAAACCAAAACUGUGGUAUUCCCUUCGAGGAUCUCAUGCCCACCAUCUUUACUCUAAAAAGCAUUGAAAUAUACUUUGGAGAUUAGGAGAUCGAGGAUUCAAGCAACUGGUAAAGCAGUUUCCCAUAUGAAGGUUAUAAUUAUAAGCAAGAGAAAAUUUCCAAUGGAAGAAGGAUUGAACUGGAAUUAAGUGUUUGAAGCCGUCAACAUCAUGACAAAGUUGUUGGUAAUUGGUAACUAUGGGACUGAGAGAAAUUAUUUUUUGAAACAUUACAUUAAAUACCAACCUCUUAUUUCGUUAUCAUCAAAAGAUGGCUACAAGAAACCUUGGGCUGACUAGUAGAUGGGUUUAAUUAAAUGGUCCAAACUAAGAUUGAAAUAAGAAUGCAAGCUCCGUGUCCACAACACGCUUUCAUACUGUUGAUAUACGAAACCACCGGGUGGUUUUCUAAGUUUUGAAUCUUCCAAAACCUUGAAAGACUUUUGGUGAAGUUGCCAAAAUUUCUAUAUAGAUAGAGUUCACAGAUGGUUUUGAAUUUUCUAAACACUUAGAAAAUACACUUUUUGCAGCAAGUACUUGCCAAUUUUUCAAUACCUGUAAAGGUCAGAAUACGAGGGAAGCCAUGGGCUGAUGAAUCAUGUUACAUCAACUGGAAGAGAAGAAGACCAUCUAGAUGUUUACCUGCCACCUUGAAAUUUAUAGCCAUUGUGUAGCAACCUUGUUUGUACUAUUAGAACAAGAAAAUGGAACCAUACUAACAAAGAAAACACUAUAUAAGAACAAACAUAUAUAUUCAACUGAAGUUCAUGAUAUAUGGAACUCCCAGGAUUACAAAGAUGAGUAGGUGCGUAUAUACUGUCAUAGGGAUGUGUAGUUUCAGAAGGUUGAACUAAAGGGGAAAGGACAAGGGGGCACAGGAACUUCAACAACUCCUUCAAGCAUCAGUAUGACCAUUCCCAUGGAGGGCCUCAAAGAAGGGUCCUCUUGAAUGCACCAAAUGGCAACCAUCACUACCCUCUCCAGCAUCCCCAUGUACUUUCUUACUUCAUCAUCAUUCUUCACUAGCUUAUCCAAUCUGUGCCCUCUAUAGCAAUCAUAAGCCCAAUCAGUAAGUAUUGCUUCCUCGUCAUUUUCUGGCUGUGAAUGUACGCUCUUCCUGCAACUGAUGAUCUCCAGUAACAUAACCCCAUAACUAUAAACAUCCACUUUCACCGUAAUCGGCUUGCUCCUGAACCAUUCUGGUGCAACGUAUCCUUUGGUCCCUCUGAUGGUUGUAAGGGCCCGAGUUUGAUCUCUCAUCAGAAGCUUUGCUAGUCCGAAGUCUGAAAUCCUAGGUGUAAGGUACUCGUCAAGGAGGAUGUUUUCAGGCUUUAUAUCACAAUGGAUGAUGGGGGUGCUGCACUCUUCAUGUAAAUACAUUAGCCCUUUUGCAAUCCCAAAGGCAAUCUGUAGUCUUUGGCUCCAGUCAGGUGUAGAUAUUCCAAACAACAAGUCUGCUAAAGAUCCAUUGUUCAUGUACUCGUAUACCAGAAGCCGGUGCACCCCCUGAUCACAGUAUCCAAGCAAACUGACUAAAUUCCUAUGGUGGGUCCGCCCAAUCACAGUGACUUCUGUUUUGAAUUCCUUCUCACCUUCCUGUACCACCUUAUCUAACUUCUUGACUGCCACAAAUCUCCCAGCAUCUGAUGCCAAAACCCCUUUAUAUACUGUUCCAAAAGCUCCCCUGCCCAAUUUCUCCUUGAAUCCACAGGUUGCCUCGUCAAGUUCUUUGUAUGAAUAAGUUCUCACACUGGUGGUCGCGAAUAUGCUUGAAACGGACCGGAGAUUCAUCAGUUUCUUGUUGUAGAAGAAGAGAGCAGCCGCAGGAAUUGCUAACAACAAAAAGAGAUUAAACAACACAGAGCUGCCAAGGAGUACUGACCCAACAAGGAUCAAGGUAGACUUGUCUGGGCAUCUCUCUAUAGUAUCAUUUUUAAUCCGUACCUUGAUGAGAGCAGUAGUGUAUUGGAGCACAUUUUGUGUUGGUUCGUGUCUUCCAUUUGAGACAGGAAACUUCUUCUUCCAACACUGAUUGUCAGUGUUAUAGAUAGCAACCACACAGAGGCAAUCAUCUUUGCAAGACUGUUUACACUUCUCCUUGUUGAAUUCAGGUCCCUCCUGAAGUUGAUAAUCAGAUAAUGGCCAGUUGACAUCUUUUAAUUCUCUGAACUCUACUGCAUCCUUGUUUGCUUCCCAUCCAUCAACAGCUGUUUGGCAGCUGGGCAAUUCAAAAUUCGGUUUACAGCCUUGUUUUCUGUCAAGAGGAUCCAAAUGAGAGUACCCAUCUGGGCAUAGACAAUCAGGCAGCCCCCUUCCAUCAAUGGAACAAUAGCUGUUGAACCCACAAAUUCCACUGCCAAGAUUACUUGGGGUCACGGUACAAAUGUUAUCAGGAAUGUUUUUCACAACAGACCAAGAAGUACUGCUGUUGUCACGAUUAUAUAGCCUGAAAACUCCAUCCUGGUCAAGCGUUGCCCGGUAAUAGUAAUCUCCCGUCAAGCUACUUCCGGAGGCGAUGUUAACAGUACCUCCAUUCCUUAGAAGAACAUAGAUGCUACCUGACUCAUCAAAAAUCACCCGUUGGCCAGAAUUGCCGCUAUUUGCAGCAUCAUUGGUGUUGCUUGAAUAAUAAACAUCAUAUGCUUUACCAGAUUCUGGGUCCAAGGUAUUAAGUACGAGAUUGCCUCCAGCUUCCAUUUGAAGCUGGAACCUCCCCUUUGAGUAGCUGCUGUUUGACUGCUGAGAAUACAUGGUGCCACCGAUUUCCAGUGUUUGAGUUGGCAAGAUGGUGUUGGCUGGAUUCUGGAAGCUCUGCCACACUGUAAGAUUUUGAUUCCUAUUUUCAAGAACAAAGUUACCAGUAUCAAGCAUGGCAGCAUGAGUGACCGCGGUAACAGAGUUCUGAGGUCUCCAUAUCUCUUUGCCUUGUGGAUCACUUAGUAUGAACUGGCCAUCAGAGGUAAGUUCAAGUUUGGAUCCUUUAGGAGCCGGGUUAUCUCCAUUUGCAUACCAAACUAAGGUUUUUUCUGGUAUUUUUUCGAACCAGAUAGCAAGCAAGAAGAGACUUUGACUGCCAAGGCGGUAAAACCCAAACGCAAAUUCACCAGAAGGUGAUACACAUCUAGGCGAGUUGUUGGAGGCGGUAAUAUCAAGAUCAGUGCAAUAUUGAGAAAAAACUAAAGACGGAAGGACAAGAAGAAGCAAGAACCUGGCAGCCAUUGCAGAAGAGCCUUGGUACUACCCUUCACACCGGAGAA
This 22264-nucleotide long non-coding RNA is filed under the name Vitis vinifera (wine grape). RNAcentral's name for it is "long non-coding RNA (VVIN_LNC004416)". Lineage: Eukaryota; Viridiplantae; Streptophyta; Magnoliopsida; Vitales; Vitaceae. The record is from RNAcentral.